UCCUACGGGUGGCAGCAGUGGGGAAUAUUGCACAAUGGGGGAAACCCUGAUGCAGCCAUGCCGCGUGUGUGAAGAAGGCCUUCGGGUUGUAAAGCACUUUCAGCGAGGAGGAAAGGUUGGCAGCUAAUACCUGUCAGCUGUGACGUUACUCGCAGAAGAAGCACCGGCUAACUCCGUGCCAGCAGCCGCGGUAAUACGGAGGGUGCAAGCGUUAAUCGGAAUUACUGGGCGUAAAGCGCACGCAGGCGGCUUGUUAAGUCAGAUGUGAAAGCCCCGGGCUCAACCUGGGAACUGCAUUUGAAACUGACAAGCUAGAGUCUUGUAGAGGGGGGUAGAAUUCCAGGUGUAGCGGUGAAAUGCGUAGAGAUCUGGAGGAAUACCGGUGGCGAAGGCGGCCCCCUGGACAAAGACUGACGCUCAGGUGCGAAAGCGUGGGGAGCAAACAGGAUUAGAUACCCGGGUAGUCA
Molecule: ribosomal RNA, 467 nt
Filed under: uncultured Aeromonadaceae bacterium
Lineage: Bacteria; Pseudomonadati; Pseudomonadota; Gammaproteobacteria; Aeromonadales; Aeromonadaceae
Description: bacterial SSU rRNA
Rfam family: Bacterial small subunit ribosomal RNA
Source: RNAcentral